GAUGAACGCGGGCGGGGGGAGGAAGAAAGGCAAGUCGAGCGACCAGACGAGGAGCUUGCUCCUCUGACGUUAGCGGCGGACGGGUGAGUAACACGUGGAUAACCUACCUAUAAGACUGGGAUAACUUCGGGAAACCGGAGCUAAUACCGGAUAAUAUAUUGAACCGCAUGGUUCAAUAGUGAAAGACGGUUUUGCUGUCACUUAUAGAUGGAUCCGCGCCGCAUUAGCUAGUUGGUAAGGUAACGGCGGCCCAAGGCAACGAUGCGUAGCCGACCUGAGAGGGUGUACAGCCACACUGGAACUGAGACACGGUCCAGACUCCUACGGGAGGCAGCAGUAGGGAAUCUUCCGCAAAGGGCGAAAGCCUGACGGAGCAACGCCGCGUGAGUGAUGAAGGUCUUCGGAUCGUAAACCUGUUUUGUUAGGGAAGAACAAAUGUGUAAGUAACUAUGCACGUCUUGACGGUACCUAAUCAGAAAGCCCCUGCUCCCUACGUC
RNAcentral lists this ribosomal RNA (497 nucleotides) under uncultured bacterium. RNAcentral describes it as "partial 16S ribosomal RNA". It matches the Rfam family "Bacterial small subunit ribosomal RNA", at positions 28 to 507 of the family's 1533-position model. The record is from RNAcentral.